UACGGAGGGUGCAAGCGUUGUCCGGAUUUAUUGGGUUUAAAGGGUGCGUAGGUGGCCUUAUAAGUCAGCGGUGAAAGUCUGGAGCUUAACUGUAGAACUGCCAUUGAUACUGUAAGGCUUGAGUACUGAUGAGGUAGGCGGAAUUGAUAGUGUAGCGGUGAAAUGCAUAGAUAUUAUCAAGAACACCGAUUGCGAAGGCAGCUUACUAAGGAGUUACUGACACUGAGGCACGAAAGCGUGGGGAUCAAACAGG
This 253-nucleotide ribosomal RNA is filed under the name uncultured bacterium. RNAcentral's name for it is "partial 16S ribosomal RNA". It matches the Rfam family "Bacterial small subunit ribosomal RNA", at positions 524 to 776 of the family's 1533-position model. The record is from RNAcentral.